AGCUACGUGGUGAGCACAAAGCGAACUGUUCUUUCGUCUUUUACUAAAAAUACCGUGUGCACGCCACAAUAAGCAGCAUACGCUUAUUUUCGGAGGAUGCCUUCUCUUUGGGAGGCG
Molecule: small nuclear RNA, 117 nt
Organism: Panicum virgatum (switchgrass)
Lineage: Eukaryota; Viridiplantae; Streptophyta; Magnoliopsida; Poales; Poaceae
Product: U5 spliceosomal RNA
Exons: 1
Source: RefSeq, a predicted model, not a curated record